GGCUCGGUGGUGGAUGGCUCACAUUUGUAUCAUGUAGGGGGAGAUUGUAUCCGCAUUGAACAGAAGAAGCUCGUUCGAAUCGGGCCCGAGCCA
Mycena olivaceomarginata is the source of this 93-nucleotide non-coding RNA. The record is from the annotation of a GenBank genome assembly. Lineage: Eukaryota; Fungi; Basidiomycota; Agaricomycetes; Agaricales; Mycenaceae.